GAUGAACGCUGGCGGCGUGCCUAAUACAUGCAAGUCGAGCGAACAGACGAGGAGCUUGCUCCUUCGACGUUAGCGGCGGACGGGUGAGUAACACGUAGGUAACCUACCUAUAAGACUGGGAUAACUUCGGGAAACCGGAGCUAAUACCGGAUAAUAUUUCGAACCGCAUGGUUCGAUAGUGAAAGAUGGCUUUGCUAUCACUUAUAGAUGGACCUGCGCCGUAUUAGCUAGUUGGUAAGGUAACGGCUUACCAAGGCAACGAUACGUAGCCGACCUGAGAGGGUGAUCGGCCACACGGGAACUGAGACACGGUCCAGACUCCUACGGGAGGCAGCAGUAGGGAAUCUUCCGCAAUGGGCGAAAGCCUGACGGAGCAACGCCGCGUGAGUGAUGAAGGUCUUCGGAUCGUAAAACUCUGUUAUUAGGGAAGAACAAACGUGUAAGUAACUGUGCACGUCUUGACGGUACCUAAUCAGAAAGCCACGGCUAACUACGU
Molecule: ribosomal RNA, 496 nt
Filed under: uncultured bacterium
Lineage: Bacteria
Description: partial 16S ribosomal RNA
Rfam family: Bacterial small subunit ribosomal RNA
Source: RNAcentral